UGAAAAAAUCAUGUAUAUAAAUGUGCCGCUACACUACUUAUGCCCACCACCAACAACAACAAGGCAAGUGAGCAACAAACUCACCCUCAUCCCUUGAUUCCUUGUUUUAGGAAGUACAAGCAGGCCUCGGAUUUUAGGGGAUGGAAAAAGUAAAAAAUAAAAAUCUGCUUCGACACUCCGCAAGGCGCAGCCUCUGCCAUCGCCUCAGGUGACAAGGUGUUCGUCAGUUCCAGGGUUAGAGCUUGGACGUGCAGAGCAAAUACAGACAUUCAUUCCUCCGACUACGUAGGAAUCUUUGCUAUGUUUACCUUUAGCUUUUAUUUCGGAUAUUUUAGUUUCUUUUGGGAUUUUAAUAAGGGGUCCACUAAAUGGAUUCCCGAGUUGUAACUUAUGGAGUUUUGGAGUUUGGAUUUAAUAGUUUUCAUUAAUGAUAUUUUGAGGAUUUCAAUUAGUAUUCUUCCAGCUUAUGGUUAUUAUUUAUUUCA
Cornus florida is the source of this 485-nucleotide long non-coding RNA. RefSeq lists it as uncharacterized. The transcript is spliced from 2 exons. NCBI's taxonomy places the organism in Eukaryota, Viridiplantae, Streptophyta, Magnoliopsida, Cornales, Cornaceae. The record is from RefSeq and is a predicted model, not a curated record.